RNAcentral lists this ribosomal RNA (506 nucleotides) under uncultured bacterium. RNAcentral describes it as "bacterial SSU rRNA". It matches the Rfam family "Bacterial small subunit ribosomal RNA", at positions 20 to 518 of the family's 1533-position model. The record is from RNAcentral.
UGGCUCAGGAUGAACGCUAGCUACAGGCUUAACACAUGCAAGUCGAGGGGCAGCAUGUGGUGCUGCAACCAAUGAUGGCGACCGGCGCACGGGUGAGUAACGCGUAUCCAACUUCCCUUAGUAGGGCAUAGCCCGUAGAAAUGCGGAUUAAUACCCUAUGUUGUAUAUUGAGGACAUCUGAUUUAUACCAAAGGGUUCACCGCUAAGGGAUGGGGAUGCGUCUGAUUAGGUUGUUGGCGGGGUAACGGCCCACCAAGCCUACGAUCAGUAGGGGUUCUGAGAGGAAGGUCCCCCACAUUGGAACUGAGACACGGUCCAAACUCCUACGGGAGGCAGCAGUGAGGAAUAUUGGUCAAUGGACGAGAGUCUGAACCAAGCCAAGUAGCGUGCAGGAUGACGGCCCUAUGGGUUGUAAACUGCUUUUAUACGGGGAUAAAGUGGGGGACGUGUCCCUUUUUGUAGGUACCGUAUGAAUAAGGACCGGCUAAUUCCGUGCCAGCCGCGGC